UGUCCCUAUUCCCAUGGACCUGAGGCUCGGGUUUGCCUCAAACUCGGGCAGUAAACGCACAGCGGUUCCCAGGGCUCCCCUCGGCCCCUCCCUCGCUCUCAGAGGCGCGCGCACGCGCACGCACGCACAGGUGUCCAGCUGACCCCUCCUGAGUGGUAACCAGUUCCGAAGCGCAUGUUCUCCUAGCGACGCCGCGGCGACCGGAGCUACCCUCUCGGGGACUCGCGCUUGUCCCCAGGAGAACCAAAAGGGACAGCUAAGACAAUGAGCACCUUAGCGCCCUGGGACUUUGCCCGUGAUAGAGCUUGCCUCUAGGGCCGCCGCCUAGCCCAGGCGUUGAGCGAUGCCCUCUACUGGGAAGCCUGUGCCUGGAGCCCUGCGCAGGUGGGGGUCGCACAGAAGACCUGGCUCGGGUGGGGGAUGGGAACGGAGAACGAUGACCUGCGUGACCUCUGCUCGGUCUCAGGCAUCCUUCCUCGCCUUCGCCCUCUUUCUCUUCCAAAACUCGAAUUCCCCAACCUGGACCCUCUCCGGGGAAGGUGGCAGAAGCGGGCUCUGCCAGGGAACGCGGGUGCGAAACUGAGGAGGGCGCUGCCUGCUGGAUGGAGUUAGUUUUGGCCGCCUCCUCCUCCUCGCUGUUUCUGCGGAAGGAAGCGCUGCGGCCGCAGCAGCCCUUGGUGCCAGCACAUAUCCCUCCCCGACCUUGGCUGAGAUUUGCUGCCGCGGUGUCUUGACUAGCAGAAAGCACAGUUUCCCUCCCGCGCAGUGACUGGGGAUGCCCUCGGGGCAGAGGAUUUGUCUGGGUCUGCGCCCAACUCUGGACCUCUGCCAUGGAGACCUUUCUGAGCCCUGGAAAAAUUCGUGGAUGCCCGGGUGCAGCCUCCUGAUACUUCCACGUAGCCCAUCCCUGCCCCGCACCUGCCCACGCCCAUUUAGCCAGGUCAUUCAUAUUAAAUCUCCAACCCCAAGUUUCUGCGUGCUUAGGUAGGUGGAUGGAUACCUUCGCCCAGCGAGGGGAGGGAGGAGGGCCCCAGAUGUUCUCCCGUCACGGGGAGGUGUCUCCUUACGUGUGCUGCUUCUUCUCUUUUCUUAAACUCCAAGAGCAGAAGCCAUUCUCUAAUCUGGAAACCCCGUUCCUUGACCUGUUGGCUGUUGGUCCCUGCCCUCUUUAUUUAUUGAAUUUGAAAUUUCCAGCCAGUAGUGGUGAAAUCGCUGGAGCUGAGUACCCGGUUGGUGGGAGGGGUGAGAGAAACUUGCAGAUAGGGGAAAAUAAAGUCCCAAUUUACAGGAACACCUCUUCCUGGCCAGCUGGACUCACUACGGCCCGGAUUUCUUCCCGAUUGGAGAACCUCAAAGAAGACCGCAGCGUGGGCGGCUCUCUAGACCCCCCGAGCUGCCCAGCAGCUGCUGCAAACGCGAGAUUCAGCGCUCCAUUUUUCUGGGAUGGCAGUGCUGUCGCCCCAAACCCCCAGCUUGCUGCUCACCCCCUUCCUUCACCGCCCCUGCACAGGACUUCCCGACCUGGGGGGUUUAUGAUGUGUGUGUGGGGCGGGGGGAAGGUGAGGCACCCCUUCCUCACCCCUGAGACCGAGGGAGAAUCUGGCUCCUGGCAGCCUACUCCAUCAAGUGCCACACUGUUCCUAGACCCCCA
Molecule: long non-coding RNA, 1651 nt
Filed under: Bos indicus x Bos taurus (hybrid cattle)
Lineage: Eukaryota; Metazoa; Chordata; Mammalia; Artiodactyla; Bovidae
Description: lncRNA (ENSBIXG00005006092.1)
Source: RNAcentral